CCACGUGCGUAUAGAGGUAGCAAGAUUGCGAGCCUGCCAGAAAAAACACUAGAAACAUGGGUACCAUUAAGACAAGUGCGUGCGGAGGCGGCUAGCUUGGCCAGCCUACCAGAAAAAGCACAGAAAACAGAUGCCGGUUAGGCCAGGUGCGCACAGAGGUGGAACGCUCCGCUAGUCUGCCAGCAAGGGUACAAAAAACGGAGGGCCCGUUAGGCCAAGUCUCUAUGGAGGUGGCUUCUUCGGCCAGGCUACCAGAAAAAGCAGAACAAACGGAGGGCCCGUUAGGCCAAUUGCGUACGGAUGUGCCAAGUUUGGCCAGCCUGCUAGGAAAAGCACUAUAAACAUUAGUCCCUUUAGGCCAAGUGCGUGCGGAGGCGGCCAGUUCGGUCAGCCUACCAGAAAAAGCCCAGGAAAUGGAGGUCCCGUUAGGCGAAGUGUAUAUGGAGUUGGCAAGUUUGGCCAGCCUGCCAGACUGCGCACAAGAAACGGAAAGCCCAUAGGCCAAGUGUGUACAGAGGUGGCUAGUUUGGCCAGGCUGCCAGAAAAAGCAGAAGAAAUGGAAGGCCCGUUAGGCCAAGUGUAUACGGAGGUGGCUAGUUCGGCCAGGCUGCCGGAAAAAGCUGAAGAAAUGGAAGGCCCGUUAGACCAAGUGUUACGGAGGUGGCUAGUUCGGCCAGGCUGCUAGAAAAAGCUGAAGAAAUGGAAGGCCCGUUAGACCAAGUGUUACGGAGGUGGCUAGUUCGGCCAGGCUGCCAGAAAAAGCAGAAGAAAUGGAAGGCCCGUUAGGCCAAGUGUAUACGGAGGUGGCUAGUUCGGCCAGGCUGCCAGAAAAGGCAGAAGAAAUGGAAGGCCCGUUAAGCCAAGU
RNAcentral lists this long non-coding RNA (865 nucleotides) under Dermacentor andersoni. RNAcentral's name for it is "uncharacterized LOC126528602". The record is from RNAcentral. Lineage: Eukaryota; Metazoa; Arthropoda; Arachnida; Ixodida; Ixodidae.